GAUGAACGCUGGCGGCGUGCCUAAUACAUGCAAGUCGAGCGAACGGACGAGAAGCUUGCUUCUCUGAUGUUAGCGGCGGACGUGUGAGUAACACGUGGAUAACCUACCUAUAAGACUGGGAUAACUUCGGGAAACCGGAGCUAAUACCGGAUAAUCUUUUGAACCGCAUGGUUCAAAAGUGAAAGACGGUCUUGCUGUCACUUAUAGAUGGAUCCGCGCUGCAUUAGCUAGUUGGUAAGGUAACGGCUUACCAAGGCAACGAUGCAUAGCCGACCUGUGAGGGUGGUCGGCCACACUGGAACGGAGACACGGUCCAGACUCCUACGGGAGGCAGCAGUAGGGAAUCUUCCGCAAUGGGCGAAAGCCUGACGGAACAACGCCGCGUGAGUGAUGGAGGUCUUCGGAUCGUAAAACUCUGUUAUUAGGGAAGAACAGAUGUGUAAGUAACUGUGCACAUCUUGACGGUACCUAAUCAGAAAGCCACGGCUAACUACGUG
RNAcentral lists this ribosomal RNA (497 nucleotides) under uncultured bacterium. Its description in RNAcentral is "partial 16S ribosomal RNA". It matches the Rfam family "Bacterial small subunit ribosomal RNA", at positions 28 to 507 of the family's 1533-position model. The record is from RNAcentral.